RNAcentral lists this unclassified non-coding RNA (261 nucleotides) under Limosilactobacillus fermentum. RNAcentral's name for it is "Lactobacillus fermentum partial contains 16S ribosomal RNA and 16S-23S ribosomal RNA intergenic spacer". The stretch from base 1 to 178 matches the Rfam family "Bacterial small subunit ribosomal RNA", at positions 1358 to 1533 of the family's 1533-position model. The record is from RNAcentral. Lineage: Bacteria; Bacillati; Bacillota; Bacilli; Lactobacillales; Lactobacillaceae.
CCGGGUGUAAUAGUUCCCGAGGUCUUGUACACACCGCCCGUCACACCAUGAGAGUUUGUAACACCCAAAGUCGGUGGGGUAACCUUUUAGGAGCCAGCCGCCUAAGGUGGGACAGAUGAUUAGGGUGAAGUCGUAACAAGGUAGCCGUAGGAGAACCUGCGGCUGGAUCACCUCCUUUCUAAGGAAUUAAUCGGAAACCUACACAUUGUCGAAACAGUGUUCAGUUUUGAGGGGUUUACCUCUCAGCUUGUACUUUGAAAA